Molecule: ribosomal RNA, 305 nt
Filed under: uncultured bacterium
Lineage: Bacteria
Description: partial 16S ribosomal RNA
Rfam family: Bacterial small subunit ribosomal RNA
Source: RNAcentral
ACAGCAGCAGCCGCGGUAAUACGGAGGGGGCUAGCGUUGUUCGGAAUUACUGGGCGUAAAGCGCACGUAGGCGGAUCGAUCAGUCAGGGGUGAAAUCCCAGAGCUCAACUCUGGAACUGCCUUUGAUACUGUCGAUCUGGAGUGUGGAAGAGGUGAGUGGAAUUCCGAGUGUAGAGGUGAAAUUCGUAGAUAUUCGGAGGAACACCAGUGGCGAAGGCGGCUCACUGGUCCAUUACUGACGCUGAGGUGCGAAAGCGUGGGGAGCAAACAGGAUUAGAUACCCGCGUAGUCCCUGUCUCUUAUAC